This 377-nucleotide ribosomal RNA is filed under the name uncultured Glomus. Its description in RNAcentral is "LSU rRNA". Lineage: Eukaryota; Fungi; Glomeromycota; Glomeromycetes; Glomerales; Glomeraceae. The record is from RNAcentral.
UUGAAAGGGAAACGAUUGAAGUCAGUCGUACCGACGAGAAAUCAGCUUUUCGAGUGUGAACUUGUGGGCGUGCGUGAGUCUUUAACGGGCCUCGCUGUUUGCAAUUUUGUGCUUUUUGAGUGUACUUUUUCGUAUGGUAGGCCAACGUCAGUUUCGAUCACCGUAAAAUGAUCGGAGGAAUGUAGCUUCGAUCUCGUAUUGAAGUAUUAUAGCCUCUGGUAGAUGCGGUGACCGAAACUGAGGAUUGCAACGAAUACCCUCUGGGCUAUCCGUCUGACCUCUGAAAGUUGCUUAGGUGCCGAAAGCGUGCUUACGGCUAUUUAAGUUGACGGUCAACAGGUUAGAACGUGAUUAUAUUCGUUAAGGAUGUUGACGUA